GCGCCCUUAGCUCAGUGGAUAGAGCGUUGGCCUCCGGAGCCAAAGGCCAGAGGUUCGAAUCCUCUAGGGCGCGCCA
Molecule: transfer RNA, 76 nt
Filed under: Betaproteobacteria bacterium
Lineage: Bacteria; Pseudomonadati; Pseudomonadota; Betaproteobacteria
Description: tRNA-Arg
Rfam family: tRNA
About the family: Transfer RNA (tRNA) molecules are approximately 80 nucleotides in length. Their secondary structure includes four short double-helical elements and three loops (D, anti-codon, and T loops). Further hydrogen bonds mediate the characteristic L-shaped molecular structure. tRNAs have two regions of fundamental functional importance: the anti-codon, which is responsible for specific mRNA codon recognition, and the 3' end, to which the tRNAs corresponding amino acid is attached (by aminoacyl-tRNA synthetases). tRNAs cope with the degeneracy of the genetic code in two manners: having more than one tRNA (with a specific anti-codon) for a particular amino acid; and 'wobble' base-pairing, i.e. permitting non-standard base-pairing at the 3rd anti-codon position.
Source: RNAcentral